GACAGAGGCCUCAAGCGUUAGGCGGAAUCACUGGGCUUAAAGCGUGUGUAGGCGGAUCGUUAAGUACCUUGUAAAUCCCACGGCUCACCCGUGGAACUGCUGGGUAUACUGGCGGUCUUGGGCCAACUAGGGGCAGCUGGAACAAGCGGUGGAGCGGUGAAAUGCGUAGAUAUCGCUUGGAACGCCGAAGGUGAAAACAGGCUGCUGGGGUUGUGCCGACGCUGAGACACGAAAGCCAGGGGAGCAAACGGG
RNAcentral lists this ribosomal RNA (252 nucleotides) under uncultured bacterium. Its description in RNAcentral is "partial 16S ribosomal RNA". It matches the Rfam family "Bacterial small subunit ribosomal RNA", at positions 524 to 776 of the family's 1533-position model. The record is from RNAcentral.